CAGGGUUUGACAUCCUGAGACCGCUAGAGAGAUCUAGUUUUCCCGCAAGGGACUCAGAGACAGGUGCUGCAUGGCUGUCGUCAGCUCGUGUCGUGAGAUGUUGGGUUAAGUCCCGCAACGAGCGCAACCCUCGCCUUUAGUUGCCAUCAUUAAGUUGGGCACUCUAGAGGGACCGCCGGCGACAAGCCGGAGGAAGGUGGGGAUGACGUCAAGUCCUCAUGGCCCUUACACCCUGGGCUACACACGUGCUACAAUGGCGGUGACAAUGGGCAGCUAGCUCGCGAGAGUAAGCUAAUCCCAAAAAACCGUCCCAGUUCAGAUUGCAGUCUGCAACUCGACUGCAUGAAGGUGGAAUCGCUAGUAAUCGCAGAACAGCAGGCUGCGGUGAAUACGUUCCC
RNAcentral lists this ribosomal RNA (398 nucleotides) under uncultured bacterium. RNAcentral's name for it is "bacterial SSU rRNA". It matches the Rfam family "Bacterial small subunit ribosomal RNA", at positions 975 to 1375 of the family's 1533-position model. The record is from RNAcentral.